CUAAGAUCUUGAUAAGAUGGUAUCUGAUAUUCUGAUAGAUUGGGAUGAGGAGAGGCAUUCUGAUAUUCUAAAACAUAAGAUCUUUUAUCUUUAUCAAAUAUUCUGAGCCUCUGGGAAAGAGCAGUUUUCAGCCACAAUGCCUGAUGGUGGACACCUCCAUUUAGCUAUGGAAGAAUCUGGUCUGAAACCCCUGCAGGAUACAGGAAGAGAACCACGUCUCCCUUCCUUACCUCUUUGACCACCUAUAGGCAUUUGUACAAUUCAUCUUUAACCAUAUGGAGGAAACAUUAAGUUGACAGAACUUACAAAAUGAUAUUGACUUAAGCUGAUUCCUAGAAUGCCGUGCUUCUUCACCACAAAAUGCCACUCAAAGUAAAUCAGCAAGUUCUUUAAAAAACUUUGUAUCAACUUCAUUUGAGAACAGCUGAAGAAUAAAGUUCCCUUCCUAACUAAAAUUAAGCUAAAGAAGCAUGAUUCAACAAAAUAAUUUUUCCAACUAGGUAAUUAACAGAUAUUUAACGAUUAUUUUCU
This 531-nucleotide long non-coding RNA is filed under the name Sarcophilus harrisii (Tasmanian devil). RNAcentral's name for it is "lncRNA (ENSSHAG00000027629.1)". Lineage: Eukaryota; Metazoa; Chordata; Mammalia; Dasyuromorphia; Dasyuridae. The record is from RNAcentral.